Molecule: ribosomal RNA, 253 nt
Filed under: uncultured bacterium
Lineage: Bacteria
Description: partial 16S ribosomal RNA
Rfam family: Bacterial small subunit ribosomal RNA
Source: RNAcentral
UACGUAGGGUGCAAGCGUUGUCCGGAAUUAUUGGGCGUAAAGGGCUCGUAGGCGGUCCGUCACGUCGGGAGUGAAAUCCUGGGGCUUAACCCCAGAACUGCUUCCGAUACGGGCAGACUAGAGGUAGGUAGGGGAGAAUGGAAUUCCUGGUGUAGCGGUGGAAUGCGCAGAUAUCAGGAGGAACACCAGUGGCGAAGGCGGUUCUCUGGGCCAAUAUUGACGCUGAGGUGCGAAAGCGUGGGGAGCAAACAGG